Long non-coding RNA from Chrysemys picta bellii (western painted turtle), 484 nucleotides. RefSeq lists it as uncharacterized. Lineage: Eukaryota; Metazoa; Chordata; Testudines; Emydidae. The record is from RefSeq and is a predicted model, not a curated record.
GUAUUUCUGCAAUGGAACUGGACUCAUAUCUCCUGCUGGUGUCUGUGAAGCUGGGUUCUUUUGCACCAGAGGAGCUGUUUCUCCUAGACCUUCCAUAACCACAAGCAGUGGGGGGCCAUGUCCCCCAGGACACUACUGCACAGUGGGGAGCAGCGGAGCACAGCCAUGCCCUGCAGGGAGCUACAGCCCAUUCUGGGGCAUGGUGCAGUGUUUGGAGUGCCCAGAAGGCUUUUACUGUAAGGUUGGUUCCAGCAAUUACACGGACUGUCCCGCAGGACAUUACUGCCCAAGGAAUACGGAGUUUGCCACACAGUAUCCCUGUCCACCAGGAACCUACAGUGAGGACUUAAACACGAGGGAUGCCUCCAAGUGCCAGCUGUGUCCCCCUGGAAAAGUCUGCUCCAAAUCAGGCUUGACGAGUCCUGAUGGACCAUGCACACCUGGAUGGUUUUGUCCACCCGGAUCAGCAUCAGGCGAGCCAAUA